Molecule: ribosomal RNA, 492 nt
Filed under: uncultured bacterium
Lineage: Bacteria
Description: partial 16S ribosomal RNA
Rfam family: Bacterial small subunit ribosomal RNA
Source: RNAcentral
AGUGAACGCUGGCGGUAGGCCUAACACAAGCAAGUCGAACGGCAGCACAGUAAGAGCUUGCUCUUACGGGUGGCGAGUGGCGGACGGGUGAGGAAUACAUCGGAAUCUACUUUUUCGUGGGGGAUAACGUAGGGAAACUUACGCUAAUACCGCAUACGACCUACGGGUGAAAGUAGGGGAUCUUCGGACCUUGCGCGAUUGAAUGAGCCGAUGUCGGAUUAGCUAGUUGGCGGGGUAAAGGCCCACCAAGGCGACGAUCCGUAGCUGGUCUGAGAGGAUGAUCAGCCACACUGGAACUGAGACACGGUCCAGACUCCUACGGGAGGCAGCAGUGGGGAAUAUUGGACAAUGGGCGCAAGCCUGAUCCAGCCAUACCGCGUGGGUGAAGAAGGCCUUCGGGUUGUAAAGCCCUUUUGUUGGGAAAGAAAAGCAGCAGGUUAAUACCCCGCUGUUCUGACGGUACCCAAAGAAUAAGCACCGGCUAACUUCGUG